GUGCUCGUUUUGGCUGGACAUACACUACAAGUGGAACUAUACAGAGAAGAUUAGCACAGCUCGUGCAUAAGGAUGAUAUAGACAUUUACAAAGUGUUCUAUAUUUUU
Small nuclear RNA from Sorex araneus (European shrew), 107 nucleotides. The record is from Ensembl. Lineage: Eukaryota; Metazoa; Chordata; Mammalia; Eulipotyphla; Soricidae.